Molecule: ribosomal RNA, 203 nt
Filed under: Vibrio cholerae
Lineage: Bacteria; Pseudomonadati; Pseudomonadota; Gammaproteobacteria; Vibrionales; Vibrionaceae
Description: partial 23S ribosomal RNA
Rfam family: Bacterial large subunit ribosomal RNA
Source: RNAcentral
AGAACCUGAAACCGUGUACGUACAAGCAGUAGGAGCACCUUCGUGGUGUGACUGCGUACCUUUUGUAUAAUGGGUCAGCGACUUAUAUUCAGUGGCAAGGUUAACCGUAUAGGGGAGCCGUAGCGAAAGCGAGUCUUAACUGGGCGCUCAGUCUCUGGAUAUAGACCCGAAACCGGGUGAUCUAGCCAUGGGCAGGUUGAAGG